GCUGGGCAGUGGUUAAGUGCUUGGCUGCUAACCAAAAGGUCGGUGGUUCGAACCCACCCAGCA
RNAcentral lists this transfer RNA (63 nucleotides) under Loxodonta africana (African savanna elephant). It matches the Rfam family "tRNA". Rfam says of the family: Transfer RNA (tRNA) molecules are approximately 80 nucleotides in length. Their secondary structure includes four short double-helical elements and three loops (D, anti-codon, and T loops). Further hydrogen bonds mediate the characteristic L-shaped molecular structure. tRNAs have two regions of fundamental functional importance: the anti-codon, which is responsible for specific mRNA codon recognition, and the 3' end, to which the tRNAs corresponding amino acid is attached (by aminoacyl-tRNA synthetases). tRNAs cope with the degeneracy of the genetic code in two manners: having more than one tRNA (with a specific anti-codon) for a particular amino acid; and 'wobble' base-pairing, i.e. permitting non-standard base-pairing at the 3rd anti-codon position. The record is from Rfam by way of RNAcentral. Lineage: Eukaryota; Metazoa; Chordata; Mammalia; Proboscidea; Elephantidae.